UCCGGCAGUGGCGGACGGGUGAGUAACGCGUAGGUAUCUAUCCUCGGGUGGGGGACAACUGUGGGAAACUACAGCUAAUACCGCAUGAUGACCCCGGCUGUGGUGGCCGGGGUCCAAAGGCGCAAGUCGCCCGGGGCGGAGCCUGCGUACGAUUAGCUGGUUGGUGGGGUAAAGGCCUACCAAGGCGACGAUCGUUAGCUGGUCUGAGAGGAUGAUCAGCCACAUUGGGACUGAGACACGGCCCAAACUCCUACGGGAGGCAGCAGUGGGGAAUAUUGGACAAUGGGCGCAAGCCUGAUCCAGCAAUGCCGCGUGUGUGAAGAAGGUCUUCGGA
RNAcentral lists this ribosomal RNA (334 nucleotides) under uncultured bacterium. RNAcentral's name for it is "bacterial SSU rRNA". It matches the Rfam family "Bacterial small subunit ribosomal RNA", at positions 88 to 422 of the family's 1533-position model. The record is from RNAcentral.